GAUUCCUGACAACACUGUUGGCUUCCCGGAGACUCCUUCAUCCUGCAGAAGAUGCAAUUCCACGGGGUCCUGAGAGAUUGGACAUGGGUGGGAUGUGGCAGUCCUCAUGGAAGACUCUUGAACAAGUGUCGCAACAGAACAGCUCCCCUCCGUCCCGGCACACCUCACACUCAUCCAAGUUUCUCAUCUAGAAGACAUCUGGCUGUGGGCUGUGAGACAUAAACCUCCAUGUCAAGCUCAUACAAAAUCAGCCACGCAAACACUGACCUCCAGGGCUGUUUUAACCAUUCGUGAGUCCCUGAGUUGGCCGGGCAUCAAAAUCAGUGUGGAAAAGACCUAAAUCUGAUUGGAGGACUGCUUUGGAGGUAAGGUUCUCAUUCACACCCAGUCUUCGAAAAACCAUCACCUUGUCCUGAAUCUACACUGCACUUAACCUAUUUGUUUGUUGCGUUCUUAAGUGAAGGAAAAAUCACUUUCACAGAUAAAAAGCAGGUCUGCACAGUCCCUCUGGUAGAACCAAAGAGGUGGCAUCAACAUAAAAGAUUUUCCUGGUCAGCUCCUCCUGUAAAAUACGUUUGCCUCUGGAGAUCUUCCUCCCCAAUGGCACCAUCUUGACAAAGUGGACUUGAUGAAAGCAUCUCACGGAAGAAAGAGCUAGUGAUUGUGCAUCAACCACUUGCAAUGUCAUUUCACGGCUGCACCUGUCAGGUCCAGCCAUUUUAAUUAGCCAAUGAUUUAAGGCAAAGGAAUUCCCAGGAAAAUCAGAUAAAACACAGAGGAAAACAACUUUAGAACUUGGACAGAUAAGAUCUAUGAUAUGAAUACAAUCAACUUACAACUCUGGCUUCUAAUGGGUUUGCUGUUUUUUAGAUUUCACUGCUCUGAAAUUGACUAAGUUUGACUAGUAAACAAUAAAGCUUCUAGGCUCCUCAAAACCUCAACAUGUGCAUUGACCUGCAGG
Molecule: long non-coding RNA, 961 nt
Filed under: Homo sapiens (human)
Lineage: Eukaryota; Metazoa; Chordata; Mammalia; Primates; Hominidae
Description: HSALNT0309401
Source: RNAcentral